UCGAGCGAACGGACGAGAAGCUUGCUUCUCUGAUGUUAGCGGCGGACGGGUGAGUAACACGUGGAUAACCUACCUAUAAGACUGGGAUAACUUCGGGAAACCGGAGCUAAUACCGGAUAAUAUUUUGAACCGCAUGGUUCAAAAGUGAAAGACGGUCUUGCUGUCACUUAUAGAUGGAUCCGCGCUGCAUUAGCUAGUUGGUAAGGUAACGGCUUACCAAGGCAACGAUGCAUAGCCGACCUGAGAGGGUGAUCGGCCACACUGGAACUGAGACACGGUCCAGACUCCUACGGGAGGCAGCAGUAGGGAAUCUUCCGCAAUGGGCGAAAGCCUGACGGAGCAACGCCGCGUGAGUGAUGAAGGUCUUCGGAUCGUAAAACUCUGUUAUUAGGGAAGAACAUAUGUGUAAGUAACUGUGCACAUCUUGACGGUACCUAAUCAGAAAGCCACGGCUAACUACGUGCCAGCAGCCGCGGUAAUACGUAGGUGGCAAGCGUUAUCCGGAAUUAUUGGGCGUAAAGCGCGCGUAGGCGGUUUUUUAAGUCUGAUGUGAAGCCCACGGCUCAACCGUGGAGGGUCAUUGGAAACUGGAAAACUUGAGUGCAGAAGAGGAAAGUGGAAUUCCAUGUGUAGCGGUGAAAUGCGCAGAGAUAUGGAGGAACACCAGUGGCGAAGGCGACUU
RNAcentral lists this ribosomal RNA (682 nucleotides) under uncultured Staphylococcus sp. RNAcentral describes it as "bacterial SSU rRNA". It matches the Rfam family "Bacterial small subunit ribosomal RNA", at positions 62 to 727 of the family's 1533-position model. The record is from RNAcentral. Lineage: Bacteria; Bacillati; Bacillota; Bacilli; Caryophanales; Staphylococcaceae.